This 294-nucleotide long non-coding RNA is filed under the name Prunus persica (peach). RNAcentral's name for it is "long non-coding RNA (PPER_LNC000857)". Lineage: Eukaryota; Viridiplantae; Streptophyta; Magnoliopsida; Rosales; Rosaceae. The record is from RNAcentral.
GAGUUGAAAGUUAUCCAAUGCUGCGAAACACUAGAAGACAUCACAACAUAACCCAAAAUUAACUCUGUUGUUUUUCUCAUUCAACCACUCAAACCUCAAACACCCAAUCUCUAACCCCCUCAAGCAUCUGAUAUCUCAUCUUUUUGUCAACUCAAAUCAACUGCACCAUCACCGUCUCUAACCCACAAGCAGCUCACAAGCACCAUCGCCGUCUCUAACCCACAAUAUUGUGCGACAUCAUUUUGGGUUAUCAUUGGUUGCAUGAGGUUUGCUUUUCUGCUCUUUUUACUCUUC